AUUGAACGCUGGCGGCAGGCCUAACACAUGCAAGUCGAACGGUAACAGGAAGCAGCUUGCUGCUUUGCUGACGAGUGGCGGACGGGUGAGUCAUGUCUGGGAAACUGCCUGAUGGAGGGGGAUAACUACUGGAAACGGUAGCUAAUACCGCAUAACGUCGCAAGCCCAAAGAGGGGGACCUUCGGGCCUCUUGCCAUCGGAUGUGCCCAGAUGGGAUUAGCUAGUAGGUGGGGUAACGGCUCACCUAGGCGACGAUCCCUAGCUGGUCUGAGAGGAGGACCAGCCACACUGGAACGGAGACACGGUCCAGACUCCUACGGGAGGCAGCAGUGGGGAAUAUUGCACAAUGGGCGCAAGCCUGAUGCAGCCAUGCCGCGUGUAUGAAGAAGGCCUUCGGGUUGUAAAGUACUUUCAGCGGGGAGGAAGGGAGUAAAGUUAAUACCUUGGCUCAUUGACGUUACCCGCAGAAGAAGCACCGGCUAACUCCGUG
This 490-nucleotide ribosomal RNA is filed under the name uncultured bacterium. RNAcentral's name for it is "partial 16S ribosomal RNA". It matches the Rfam family "Bacterial small subunit ribosomal RNA", at positions 30 to 507 of the family's 1533-position model. The record is from RNAcentral.